RNAcentral lists this unclassified non-coding RNA (231 nucleotides) under Hevea brasiliensis (rubber tree). The record is from RNAcentral. Lineage: Eukaryota; Viridiplantae; Streptophyta; Magnoliopsida; Malpighiales; Euphorbiaceae.
AUCAAGUUGUAGAUUACAGAAUGAUUCUCCUUAAUUCAGUGAAAAUCAGUUCUAUAGUUUCUUAAUCAAUAAGCAUAUCAAAUUCAUCACCGUCCCUACUUUUAAAUCGCCGUGAAAACAUUGGACUAUACGACUAGUCGUCCUCGCAAUUCCAAAUAGAACAAUUAAAAUAUAUAUCUAACGGUCUUAAAUUGAUCAGAGAGAGACCUGGCAUUUGGAGCCAUAUCGGCA